Nematostella vectensis (starlet sea anemone) is the source of this 1074-nucleotide long non-coding RNA. RefSeq lists it as uncharacterized. The transcript is spliced from 2 exons. NCBI's taxonomy places the organism in Eukaryota, Metazoa, Cnidaria, Anthozoa, Actiniaria, Edwardsiidae. The record is from RefSeq and is a predicted model, not a curated record.
UUUUUCUCUUCUAGUUUUGCUUUUCUAACUCGCGGCCGACACCGUGAAUUGAUAAAGUUUUUGCAUUAUUUUCGUCGUGGCCAAAGCCAAGAAAGAAAUUCGACACAUCUUAACACUUUUUUAAUAAAAAGACGUACAAACGAUGGAUGGAAGGACAAAGGAUGGGUUUGGAAAAAGAAGGCAAAUCCCAACUCAAGCAAGCUGCCAGCUUGAUGCUAGCACAGGAUGUAUUCAUUAAUAGAGCUAAGUAACAGAAAGAUAGAUAAUAGUUACAAAUAAAAACUUGUUAUAAAAAAAUGAACCAGGCUAAUAAAAUAAACUAAAAGUAGUCAGAAACUUUGAAAACAAGUUAGAGUGGUUUAUUUAAUUCACCUUUUAACAAAGUGGCUGGUACAAAACACUGACCAACAUUGGCCCUUAUUGCAAAUGGACUAAAUGGGUUUUCUAGUAAAAAAAAUAUAGUUUCAAUUUGAACUAAUUAACUGCACAGGGUUUUGUGAGCAAUCUACUUUUCAAAUAGCUGAUAUGAAUACAGCUCAAUACUUAGGAAUCUGAAUUGAUAUUUGCAAAAAUCAACAGCAAUGUACAAUUUGACCUUUCAUGCAAUUAUUUCAAAGAUAGUUUGAAAAAACAAACUGCAUCAAGCCCUAUUUUAUGUUUUAGCACAAAAAUACCAGGUGUACAUACCCUUGAAACCAUGAUGCUUCAAUAUGGGGGUCUAGUGGGUCCAUGGACCUCCUCAUUGAGGGUCAGCGUUUUGUAUGAUCCACUCAAGACAAAGUGUCAAUUCAAAGAGUAUUAGCCAAAAAAAACAGUAAAGAAGGUUGAUAAAACUGUUUCACCAUUAUUUGUAAUUUCUACCAAAUUACUUUUAUUACCCUUCAACUGGGAGAAAAUUAUAAAAAUCAAGAAAAUCUAGUAGUAGUGCAAUGUGAAAGGAAGAAGUGGAAUUUGGACAGUGUAGGCAAGUAUGGAGCACAUUUACUGGCAAAAACGAUAUGCUAAUGUAUAGAAACGCGUUGUGUGCUGAUAUGGUUUUAAAUGUUAAAGAGAUUAAAAAAGCACCCAUUUUAC